UACGAAGGGGGCUAGCGUUGUUCGGAAUUACUGGGCGUAAAGCGCACGUAGGCGGAUUUGUAAGUCAGGGGUGAAAUCCCGGGGCUCAACCUCGGAACUGCCUUUGAUACUGCAAGUCUAGGGUCCGGAAGAGGUGGGUGGAAUUCCUAGUGUAGAGGUGAAAUUCGUAGAUAUUAGGAAGAACACCGGUGGCGAAGGCGGCCCACUGGUCCGGUACUGACGCUGAGGUGCGAAAGCGUGGGGAGCGAACAGG
This 253-nucleotide ribosomal RNA is filed under the name uncultured bacterium. RNAcentral's name for it is "partial 16S ribosomal RNA". It matches the Rfam family "Bacterial small subunit ribosomal RNA", at positions 524 to 776 of the family's 1533-position model. The record is from RNAcentral.